This 371-nucleotide ribosomal RNA is filed under the name uncultured bacterium. RNAcentral's name for it is "bacterial SSU rRNA". It matches the Rfam family "Bacterial small subunit ribosomal RNA", at positions 30 to 402 of the family's 1533-position model. The record is from RNAcentral.
AUUGAACGCUGGCGGCAUGCCUUACACAUGCAAGUCGAACGGUAACGGGCCUUCGGGUGCCGACGAGUGGCGAACGGGUGAGUAAUGCAUCGGAACGUACCUUUCAGUGGGGGAUAACGUAGCGAAAGUUACGCUAAUACCGCAUAUUCUGUGAGCAGGAAAGCAGGGGAUCGCAAGACCUUGCGCUGAUUGAGCGGCCGAUAUCAGAUUAGCUAGUUGGUGAGGUAAAGGCUCACCAAGGCGACGAUCUGUAGCGGGUCUGAGAGGAUGAUCCGCCACACUGGAACUGAGACACGGUCCAGACUCCUACGGGAGGCAGCAGUGGGGAAUUUUGGACAAUGGGCGCAAGCCUGGAUCCAGCCAUGCCGCGU